This is a long non-coding RNA of Oreochromis niloticus (Nile tilapia), 248 nucleotides long. RefSeq lists it as uncharacterized. Lineage: Eukaryota; Metazoa; Chordata; Actinopteri; Cichliformes; Cichlidae. The transcript has 2 exons. The record is from RefSeq and is a predicted model, not a curated record.
GACAUUGGCUGGAGCUGAAGUGAAGGCUGAUGGGAUGAUGCCCUGAUCCAGUUCAUGUGUGAUGAGAAACAGUUCAAGUGAACUAAUGAGGACGUUGCUGUGACUUUGACUACACACACUUGUUAUAUAAUGUUGGACCAGUAGGUGUCACUGUUGUCCAUGUACAUGGAGUGUUUCUGGCGUCUGGAGAAAAUCAGAAAAAUUAAUCAACUUUUUAACACUUUAUUAAAAAAUAUUAUAGAUUUUCA